Molecule: long non-coding RNA, 2114 nt
Organism: Apis florea (little honeybee)
Lineage: Eukaryota; Metazoa; Arthropoda; Insecta; Hymenoptera; Apidae
Source: RefSeq, a predicted model, not a curated record
CAUAAAAUAUCAUGCGAUUAAUUAACUUUGAAGUUUUUUCUCUUGGAUUUUUAUUACCAAAUAGCGCUUACAUCAUUUAUUCGGUUAAACUAGGUUCGUGGUUACAGUUGUCCAACGAGAAGAUUGGUGCACGGAUCGAAAUAAAAAGUUGCGCACGGUUCACGUGGACGUUAGAUACCUGUACACGCUACGCCGAUAAAUUGCUUCGAAUUAUCUGCACGCUCAUCACUAGCACUUCCUUUCUUCGUCGAGCAGCGACCGUCUGUAUAGUGCAUGCAGAUAAAUUCUAACGAUUAUAUGCAAUUUCUCUGCGACAUUAACGAACGUAGAAUCGGAAGUUCGAACGUACUAUAGUGCACUGUGAGAUAUUCAUCGAGAACUACUCUGCCUCGAACGAAACCGAUUUGCUGCUGCUUUCGAAGAAAAAAGAAAAAGAAUGAAAAAGAUCAGAAAGGAAGCAAUUCUCUUUUUUCCUUUCCUUCUCAAGUUUAUUGAUAUUUUCAACCAUUGGUUAUUGACGUUUCUAACCUAAAUUUUCAAUUUUAACGAUCUUAUAAAAUCUAUUAUAUAAUUUCUCUAUAAAAAUAAUGUAUCAAAUUAUAAAAAUCAAAGUUGACAAUUUAGUUAAUCUGAAAAUUCUUAGACGUUCUUAAUAGACAUCUUUAACAAUUAUGGAAUGUUGUAUGAAAGCAUAUCGAAAUCUUCAGAAAGAAUUCCAAUCGAUACGAAAAUCAAACCAAUAUUAAACCAAAUCGAAAUCGAGAGGUUUGCAAUUAAAACGCCAGAAUGAAAAUAUCGUUAAAAUAUAAUAUGCUUUUCACACGAGGAAGAAUAAGAGAAGUAAGAACUAGAAUCACGAAGGAAGAAACGUUGACAAGGGACGUGGUGGAAAGGUCAAUGACGUUCAUACUCGUGAUCGAUAAUAUAAUAAUUACGUUCUGAUCUAGAUUAUAUCCCUGAACAAUGCGGCGUAUUAUCUUUGAUGACGUUCUAAGCAACAAAACUAUCGUGUUCUCAUAUACGUGUUCAUCUAUAUUAUAGAAGAGGAAGAAAACAUCGUUAAAUUUCUAAUUUGAAUGUUCGAUCAAAUGCAGAUUGUUCAAAUAAUUGUUCAAAUAAUUAUUCUCCAUAUUAACUCAAAAAAUUCUUUGUUUUGAGCAACGAACAGAAGAAUAUAAUUUUCCUACAAAUGAAAAAGGAUCGAAAUCCUCUCUAUGAAAGAGAUAGUAUAAUUAACGAAGACAAUGAAUUUCACGGAUCCCUCGAAUAAGCAAUUCAACCAGCGGACGGAAGUCUUGUUAAGAAUGCGUUAAACCCAACGUUAAACCGUAAAUACGAAUAAUUCAAGUUCCCAGCGUCAACUGCAGGCAAGUAAAGGUGAACAACAUCUUGAAGAGAGAGAAAGACAGUUAGUCACACAGAGAGCAUUAGGAACGAAUGUAAUUAUAGUUCAUAGAGGCGAAUUUUCGUGGUAGAAGUAAUUAGAUUGUAUUAAUAGCACAAACGUCUAAUUUGAAUCGAAACUUUCUUCUGUGCACACGCUUAAUGGCUUAAAAAUAUUUUUUUAGGAGUUUUGGAAUAUCGAUUUUCAAUUAAUAAAAUAUUAUUAAAGUGCGAUUAAAUUGUUGAAUAUUCAGAAUAUGAAGAUCUUUGUAAGAUUAUAAUUUUGCACUGGAAGAAUGUAUAAAUUUAUAUGUAUAAAUUUUUAUCAUAUCUCUAAUUGAAAGUGAUUAUACAUUAGCGAGAAUUCGAUAUAUUAUUUCUCUUCAUUCGACUGACAAUAUCUAAACAAGAAAGGUACCAAUUUUUCUUUUUUCGAAACCAUUAUACUGAAAGAAAAAUUGGAAAAAAAUGUAUAUCCUCUAUUCUGUUGUUCAAACAAAAAAUAUUCUGAUAAAAUGAAAGUACAUUGUUCACUGCAUUAACCUAAUUUGGAAAUAUUUUACCGCAACUUUGUAUCGGGAUUCCUGCAGCUUUGUAAUUUAAUUAAACGCGAAUACUUUUGAAAUGUAAUUACGAAUAACACUUGUAGAAAUCAUUCGACAAUAAACAAUAAACAUUUUAUUCAUUUUGUUUAUCGUCCGAUGAAUAUUUCAAAUAUUCGAAUAUUUAAA